GAUGAACGCUAGCUACAGGCUUAACACAUGCAAGUCGAGGGGAAACGAUAGAGAAAGCUUGCUUUUUCUAGGCGUCGACCGGCGCACGGGUGAGUAACGCGUAUCCAACCUGCCCAUCACUUGGGGAUAACCUUGCGAAAGUAAGACUAAUACCCAAUGACGUCUCUAGAAGACAUCUGAAGGAGAUUAAAGAUUUAUCGGUGAUGGAUGGGGAUGCGUCUGAUUAGCUUGUUGGCGGGGUAACGGCCCACCAAGGCGACGAUCAGUAGGGGUUCUGAGAGGAAGGCCCCCCACAUUGGAACUGAGACACGGUCCAAACUCCUACGGGAGGCAGCAGUGAGGAAUAUUGGUCAAUGGGACGAGAGUCUGAACCAGCCAAGUAGCGUGAAGGAUGACUGCCCUAUGGGUUGUAAACUUCUUUUAUACGGGAAUAAAGUUAGCCACGUGUGGUUUUUUUGUAUGUACCGUAUGAAUAAGGAUCGGCUAACUCCGUG
RNAcentral lists this ribosomal RNA (494 nucleotides) under uncultured bacterium. RNAcentral's name for it is "bacterial SSU rRNA". It matches the Rfam family "Bacterial small subunit ribosomal RNA", at positions 28 to 507 of the family's 1533-position model. The record is from RNAcentral.